This 397-nucleotide ribosomal RNA is filed under the name uncultured bacterium. RNAcentral's name for it is "partial 16S ribosomal RNA". It matches the Rfam family "Bacterial small subunit ribosomal RNA", at positions 523 to 918 of the family's 1533-position model. The record is from RNAcentral.
AUACGUAGGGGGCGAGCAUUGUCCGGAAUGAUUGGGCGUAAAGGGCGCGUAGGCGGCCCGGUAAGUCUGGAGUGAAAGUCCUGUUUUUAAGAUGGGAAUUGCUUUGGAUACUGUCGGGCUUGAGUGCAGGAGAGGUAAGUGGAAUUCCCAGUGUAGCGGUGAAAUGCGUAGAGAUUGGGAGGAACACCAGUGGCGAAGGCGACUUACUGGACUGUAACUGACGCUGAGGCGCGAAAGUGUGGGGAGCAAACAGGAUUAGAUACCCUGGUAGUCCACACUGUAAACGAUGAAUGCUAGGUGUAGGGGGUAUCGACCCCUUCUGUGCCGCAGUCAACACAAUAAGCAUUCCGCCUGGGGAGUACGGCCGCAAGGUUGAAACUCAAAGGAAUUGACGGGG